RNAcentral lists this ribosomal RNA (487 nucleotides) under uncultured bacterium. Its description in RNAcentral is "bacterial SSU rRNA". It matches the Rfam family "Bacterial small subunit ribosomal RNA", at positions 28 to 507 of the family's 1533-position model. The record is from RNAcentral.
GAUGAACGCUAGCGGCAGGCCUAACACAUGCAAGUCGAGGGGUAACAUAGGAAAGCUUGCUUUUCUGAUGACGACCGGCGCACGGGUGCGUAACGCGUAUACAACCUACCUUUUAGCGGGGAAUAGCCCAGGGAAACUUGGAUUAAUGCCCCAUAGUAUAUAGACUUCUCCUGAAGUUUAUAUUAAACAUUUAUGGCUAUUAGAUGGGUAUGCGUCCUAUUAGUUAGUUGGUAAGGUAACGGCUUACCAAGGCAGCGAUAGGUAGGGGUCCUGAGAGGGAGAUCCCCACACUGGUACUGAGACACGGACCAGACUCCUACGGGAGGCAGCAGUGAGGAAUAUUGGACAAUGGGCGAGAGCCUGAUCCAGCCAUGCCGCGUGCAGGAAGACUGCCCUAUGGGUUGUAAACUGCUUUUACAGAGGAAGAACCACCCCCACGUGGGGGGGUUUGACGGUACUCUGCGAAUAAGGAUCGGCUAACUCCGUG